GAGACUCUGUGCGCGUGCAUAUCAAUAAGCGGAGGAAAAGAAACUAACAAGGAUUCCCUUAGCUAACGGCGAGUGAAGCGGGAAGAGCUCAAAUUUGAAAUCUUCAAGGUUCUACCUUGACGAAUUGUAGUUUAAAGAAGUGUUUUCUGUUAGAUGAGUAGCAAAAGUUCCUUGGAAUGGGACAUCAUAGAGGGUGAGAAUCCCGUAUUUGGUUAUUCAUUCUAGCUUUGUGAUACACUUUCAAAGAGUCGGAUUGUUUGGGAAUGCAGUCCAAAAUGGGUGGUAAAUUUCAUCUAAAGCUAAAUAUUGGCGAGAGACCGAUAGCGAACAAGUACUGUGAGGGAAAGAUGAAAAGAACUUUGAAAAGAGAGUUAAACAGUACGUGAAAUUGUCAAAAGGGAAGCGUUUGACACCAGUGUUGUUUUCUCGAAAAUCAAUUACGAAUGUUUUAUUUUUGAGGAGUUAUGACUUCAUCGGCUUGCUCCUUUCUUUAUGAAACUUUCUUAAUGCACUUUUCGGUUAACAAGUCAACAUCAAUUUCUUUUGUUGUAAAAGGGUAUGAGGAGGGUGGCUUUCUUUUCGGAGAAAGUGUUUAUAGCCUUGUACCUCUGCAAUCGGAGAGAUUGAGGUCUGCAGCGUAGAUCCUUCGGGGUUAGAUACAUUUGUGCUAAGUUGUAGCUUUUCAUAGACAACUUGUUGACUAUGUUUAGUCAUGCGGCUUACUCGCUUAUGCUAUUUUACCUACGCUUAGGAUGUUGACUGAUAUGUAGUCGUA
RNAcentral lists this ribosomal RNA (775 nucleotides) under uncultured Neocallimastigales. Its description in RNAcentral is "partial large subunit ribosomal RNA". It matches the Rfam family "Eukaryotic large subunit ribosomal RNA", at positions 23 to 644 of the family's 3401-position model. The record is from RNAcentral. Lineage: Eukaryota; Fungi; Neocallimastigomycota; Neocallimastigomycetes; Neocallimastigales.